UUUGGGGGCAGCUAAACAUGCAGCCGAGCGGUAGAGAUUCUUCGGAAUCUUGAGAGCGGCGUACGGGUGCGGAACACGUGUGCAACCUACCUUUAUCAGGGGGAUAGCCUUUCGAAAGGAAGAUUAAUACCCCAUAAUAUAUUGAAUGGCAUCAUUUAAUAUUGAAAACUCCGGUGGAUAGAGAUGGGCACGCGCAAGAUUAGAUAGUUGGUAGGGUAACGGCCUACCAAGUCAAUGAUCUUUAGGGGGCCUGAGAGGGUGAUCCCCCACACUGGUACUGAGACACGGACCAGACUCCUACGGGAGGCAGCAGUGAGGAAUAUUGGACAAUGGGUGAGAGCCUGAUCCAGCCAUCCCGCGUGAAGGACGACGGCCCUAUGGGUUGUAAACUUCUUUUGUAUAGGGAUAAACCUACUCUCGUGAGAGUAGCUGAAGGUACUAUACGAAUAAGCACCGGCUAACUCCGUGCCAGCAGCCGCGGUAAUACGGAGGGUGCAAGCGUUAUCCGGAUUUAUUGGGUUUAAAGGGUCCGUAGGCGGAUCUGUAAGUCAGUGGUGAAAUCUCAUAGCUUAACUAUGAAACUGCCAUUGAUACUGCAGGUCUUGAGUAAAGUAGAAGUGGCUGGAAUAAGUAGUGUAGCGGUGAAAUGCAUAGAUAUUACUUAGAACACCAAUUGCGAAGGCAGGUCACUAUGUUUUAACUGACGCUGAUGGACGAAAGCGUGGGGAGCGAACAGGAUUAGAUACCCUGGUAGUCCACGCCGUAAACGAUGCUAACUCGUUUUUGGGUUUUCGGAUUCAGAGACUAAGCGAAAGUGAUAAGUUAGCCACCUGGGGAGUACGUUCGCAAGAAUGAAACUCAAAGGAAUUGACGGGGGCCCGCACAAGCGGUGGAUUAUGUGGUUUAAUUCGAUGAUACGCGAGGAACCUUACCAAGGCUUAAAUGGGAAUUGACAGGUUUAGAAAUAGACUUUUCUUCGGACAAUUUUCAAGGUGCUGCAUGGUUGUCGUCAGCUCGUGCCGUGAGGUGUUAGGUUAAGUCCUGCAACGAGCGCAACCCCUGUCACUAGUUGCCAUCAUUCAGUUGGGGACUCUAGUGAGACUGCCUACGCAAGUAGAGAGGAAGGUGGGGAUGACGUCAAAUCAUCACGGCCCUUACGCCUUGGGCCACACACGUAAUACAAUGGCCAGUACAGAGGGCAGCUACCAGGCGACUGGAUGCGAAUCUCGAAAGCUGGUCUCAGUUCGGAUUGGAGUCUGCAACUCGACUCUAUGAAGCUGGAAUCGCUAGUAAUCGCAUAUCAGCCAUGAUGCGGUGAAUACGUUCCCGGGCCUUGUACACACCGCCCGUCAAGCCAUGGAAGUUUGGGGUACCUGAAGUCGGUGACCGUAACAGGAGCUGCUAGGUAAAAUCAAG
RNAcentral lists this ribosomal RNA (1416 nucleotides) under Chryseobacterium balustinum. RNAcentral describes it as "bacterial SSU rRNA". It matches the Rfam family "Bacterial small subunit ribosomal RNA". Lineage: Bacteria; Pseudomonadati; Bacteroidota; Flavobacteriia; Flavobacteriales; Weeksellaceae. The record is from RNAcentral.